UACAGAGACCUCAAGCGUUAUCCGGAUUUAUUGGGCGUAAAGCGUCUGUAGGUGGUUUGGAAAGUCAGUCGUCAAAUCUCGGUGCUCAACAUCGAGGCCGCGUCUGAAACUACCUGACUAGAGGAUGGGAGAGGCAGAUGGAAUCGCCGGUGUAGGGGUAAAAUCCGUUAAUAUCGGCGAGAACACCAAAUGCGAAAGCGUUCUGCUGGAACAUUCCUGACACUGAGAGACGAAAGCGUGGGGAGCGAAUGGG
RNAcentral lists this unclassified non-coding RNA (253 nucleotides) under Patescibacteria group bacterium. Its description in RNAcentral is "contains 16S-23S intergenic spacer region". It matches the Rfam family "Bacterial small subunit ribosomal RNA", at positions 524 to 776 of the family's 1533-position model. The record is from RNAcentral.